RNAcentral lists this ribosomal RNA (118 nucleotides) under Zootermopsis nevadensis. Lineage: Eukaryota; Metazoa; Arthropoda; Insecta; Blattodea; Termopsidae. The record is from RNAcentral.
GCCAACGGCUGUACCAUGUUGAAAACACCGGUUUUCGUGUGAUCAACGCAGUUAGCAGCUAACGGGCGUGGCCAGUACUUGAAUGGGUGACGCUUGGGAACAACACGUGCUAUUGGCA